UCAGGUAAAUAAAGGUGAAUUGUGGGAUAGUGAUUAACGGAAGUGAAAGGACUGUUACAAACAGUUCCUGAUGAAGAAUACAUUUUAUCAUUCGUAACAACUCUAAACCUAUUACGAUGUCUAAAAGUCGCCAUGACAUCGAUAAGGACACUGUUGUGGCCUACCACGACUUUAUCCAGGGCCAGAUUAAAGGUGAGCUAAAUGGUGUGAACCUAGGGCCAGGAAGGACCUGCUGCCUGAUAGCGGGGGUCGUGUUUGUUAUUGGGUUGGUACUAGGCAUCGUCGGUAUACUGGUGAUCACUCUGAGGAUGCGGCAUGUGUACCUGUGGGACUGGAACGAUCAGUUUCUAGGACCCGCCUUCAUCGUCCUGAUGUUGCUGUGUGUCGGACUGGCCGUGUUCCUGAUUGUGGAGGGAAAGCGUAGGGCCAACGCCUACAGGAGAGAUCUAGUGUUCCGGCCCAUUGGUGACUAUGGAGUAGCUGUUGUCCACAAAAGCAGACUGAAUUAUGAGGAGAAAUCAAGAGAUAACUUGAAGUCAGGAACAACACCACAUCAACCUAUUCAGCCCAAACCCUACCAGCCCAUUUCGUAUGAUCAUGAGGGUCGUCCUAGAAAAGCUGGCUAUGAGAACCGGGCAUAUGGAGAUACUGACCCCAGGGGCCCUCCUCCUCGAUAUGAAGAAAGAGGUCGCCGCCCUGAUGAUCGCAGAGGCCCAGACAGGCGAGGUCCAGAUGACAGGCGUAGACCUCCUGGUGAUCGACCAAGGGGACCACCAGAUGACCGUACACGACCUGACCGUCCACGCAUGCCCCACCCCAACCGUCGUGGUCCGCCCCGUGGACCAGAUGAUCGUCCCAGGAGACCACCUGGUGGACAAGAUGAUCGUCCGAGGAGACCACAAGGUGGCCCUGAUGAUCGACCGAGGGGACCCCCAGGAGAACGGAGAAGAGGACCUCCAGGGCCAGAUGAUAGGAGACGCCCACCAGGACCCCCUGGGGACCGGUACCGGGAUGACAGAAGGCGCAUGGAUGAAGAUCGACGAAGGGAGGAGAAAAGAAGGGAAGCGGAGGGUGAACCACAUAGAAAUGGACCCCCACCAGGUGACAAUGACACAACCCGUGUCCUGCUCAGCAGAGAUGGUCCGCAUGACACUGAGUCAGAGUUCUAAGUGGCCGGUAGAGAACAAUGAAAUAGACCCAAGAUUGGACCAAUGUGAUUGACACUUUAUUGAAAGUCACCUGAACAAUGAAAUAGACCCAAGAUUGGACCAAUGGAAUUGACACUUUAUUGAAAGUCAGCUGAACAAUUCAAGCUAGUCUGGCCAACUGGUUGCAUUUAAACCUGUUAGAUUCUGAGGAAGACAUGGUUGGUAGAAUUCAGAAAGGUUUCUGUGUAGGUUACAAGUACAGUCUGGUAGGAAAUGAAAUCUACAUAAAUAAGUUUGAUUUCUUUUGGUACAUUACUCGUAUUUUGAAUUUGGCGAUUGUGAUUGGUGCUUAAUUAAUGACAAAAAAAAUAUGGCUUCUCCUUAUUUGAUUAAAAAAAUAAUUUAAAAUGAGUAUAGAGAUUGAGUUUGUCAAGUACGUAUGUGAUGACCAUGUUGUUAGGACAGGAUCCUGUGGUAUUGCUGUACCUCCUCUGUGUACUGUACCUGUGUGGUCAGUCUGUACUGCUGUAGGUGGUCAGUAUGUAUUACUUAAGGGGGUCAGUCUGUAAUACUAUUAGUGGUCAGUCUACUGUAUCAGUAUGUUUAUAUACACGGAACAGGUAUGAGGAUGUCUAUGUAUUGUAACCUAUAUAAUAACUGCAGUGAUGGGACCAAUGUGUUUGAGAUAAUGAAGGAAUGGCAGCAAAUAUUAGUUAGGCAUGUUUGUACACAAGACCUCAUAGAACAGGAAUCUAAUAUACUAGUCUACAGGUUUCUACUCCUAACAGUGUAAUUCUACUCCUUACAUUGUAAUUCUACUCCUUACAUUGUAAUUCCACUCAUAUAAGUGUCAUUAUGACAGAAAGGAUUCUACUUGUUAAACACUUGUUGUUAAGGGAUUGAAUUUUAGAUUAUACUUACCUGUGGAAGCCACUGCAUCACAUUUUUACAGGAACUUUUUAAGAUGGUGUUAUUUUGACAAGCUCAUGACAAACAAAAGAUUUUGAGACAUAUAAGUGUUUGUGUAAUUACAGAUGAACACGUAGCAAAUAGUUCUUGUAUUUCAAAAUGUUCUUCGUUAUAAAAAAAAUAAAAAAUAAAAUGAUUGUAAAUUUGGUUUGGUUUGACCAGUUUAAUUUUGUCUGGUUCUUUUAGAAUAAAUAUGUUCUUAUAUAGAACUUCCAUCUUAAAUUGUUAUAAAUAUUUUACUAACUGGUAUGGUAGUCAAUGAGUGUAUGAUGUGUGUAAGAUAUGUCUGUAAGAAUUAAUUAGCAGUUUUAAUCAAAUGUCCUUAUCUGAGCCAAAUCUAUUACAUGGUGGGCUGUAAGCAGACAACAAUAACAUUUUGAUGCCAUUAUAAGUGAUGGAUACAUGGAAUGGCUGAAAAAAGGGUUAGCCUUUGAUUAUUUUAAUGGUGUAUGAAGAAUGUGAUAACGAAUCUCUUGUUGAAGGUAGAGACCAAAUUAUGAUUGUUUUUAAUAUACACAAAUUGUAUACGCAUUCUUUAUCAUUUCAUCUAUGCUUAUCAAUCAAGAACAAAGAAACAGUGUCCUAAGUAACUGGUACCCAAGUUACUUUUACUCUUGUAACAAAAACAAUUAGGUUAGGUACCGUUACUCAUGUAACAAUCUAGGUUACUGUUACUCUUGUAACAAACCAUCUAGGUUAUUGUUACUCUUGUAACAAACAAUUAAGGUUACUGUUACUUGGGUACCAAACUAUCUAAACAGGAUAUUAUAAAUGUAUCAUACUUCCCUAUAACUACUUAAUUCAGAAACCAUUACAGGCAAUUUUGUCACCAUCUAUAGAAAUUGAGCUCCAGUGUUGAUAUGUCAGAAUUAGGAGGUAAUGAGAAUAUGACUUUUACAGGUCACCAGCGAAUGUAAAAGGGGAUAGUGUACACACAAGCUAUAUUGUGGAGGUGUACAAUGCUAUAUCAUCCUGUGAUGGAAUAGUGUACACACAAGCUUUAUUCAUCGUUGAUCAACUUGACCUAGUGUUUUAUAAUAGUGUAUUUUCUAACUUUAUUUUUGUACCAUAUUUUAAUUGUACAUAUUUGUAAAUAUUUGGAAUUCAUGAUCAUUAAUCACUACAUUCAGUGCCAUUGUACAUUUAAAUCUAGACCAACAUUGUAGCAAUAACCAUUCCUCAUGUAUAAUCAAAGAUCAUCUCAAUAAAAAUUUAUACUAAUUGGUAAA
This 3346-nucleotide unclassified non-coding RNA is filed under the name Mizuhopecten yessoensis (Yesso scallop). RNAcentral's name for it is "basic salivary proline-rich protein 2-like, transcript variant X1". The record is from RNAcentral. Lineage: Eukaryota; Metazoa; Mollusca; Bivalvia; Pectinida; Pectinidae.